GUCUGUCGCAAGUGCUGUCCUGGAAAUCUCCGUGGCACCAUGAUAUUUGUCAUUUGUGCCACUGAUGUCUUGGAGAGGAUUUUUACAGGUAAAAAGGCGACAUAACGAAGCCCACUCUGAGGACGUAUGCCAAGGAUGAGACGCAUUUUCGAGCUGUCACUUUGCUGGUCAUUUCACCCUAAUUGGGACAUCACCGACCUGCUUUCCCUGAAAAUAUGUCAUGGUUUGCCCUUGUAAUUAUGCUGUACCUGUCAAAGGCUGUAAUAUCACACCAAACAACUCAACUUUUGCUUAUUUUACCAACAUGAAGCAAAAUUGUUAUGCUAUGUGACCUUAUGUGUUCAUAAUAUAACACCAUUUUGAAACCCC
Onychostoma macrolepis is the source of this 369-nucleotide long non-coding RNA. RefSeq lists it as uncharacterized. NCBI's taxonomy places the organism in Eukaryota, Metazoa, Chordata, Actinopteri, Cypriniformes, Cyprinidae. The transcript has 3 exons. The record is from RefSeq and is a predicted model, not a curated record.